UACGAGGUGGGCAAGCGUUGUUCCGGAAUACUGGGCGUAAAGGGCGCGUAGGCGGCUCAUGAAGGCUGUGGUGAAAGUCCGGGGCUCAACCUCGGAUCGGCCGUGGCGACUCGUGGGCUGGAGCACUGUAGAGGCGGGUGGAAUUCCGGGUGUAGCGGUGGAAUGCGUAGAGAUCCGGAAGAACACCAGUGGCGAAGGCGGCCCGCUGGGCAGUGGCUGACGCUGAGGCGCGACAGCGUGGGGAGCAAACGAG
RNAcentral lists this ribosomal RNA (253 nucleotides) under uncultured bacterium. RNAcentral's name for it is "partial 16S ribosomal RNA". It matches the Rfam family "Bacterial small subunit ribosomal RNA", at positions 524 to 776 of the family's 1533-position model. The record is from RNAcentral.